CCUACGGGUGGCUGCAGUGAGGAAUAUUGGUCAAUGGACGAGAGUCUGAACCAGCCAAGUAGCGUGAAGGAUGACUGCCCUAUGGGUUGUAAACUUCUUUUAUAUGGGAAUAAAAUGUUCCACGUGUGGGAUUUUGUAUGUACCAUAUGAAUAAGGAUCGGCUAACUCCUUCCCAGCAGCCGCGGUAAUACGGAGGAUCCGAGCUUUAUCCGGAUUUAUUGGGUUUAAAGGGAGCGUAGGUGGAUUGUUAAGUCAGUUGUGAAAGUUUGCGGCUCAACCGUAAAAUUGCAGUUGAAACUGGCAGUCUUGAUUACAGUAGAGGUGGGCGGAAUUCGUGGUGUAGCGGUGAAAUGCUUAGAUAUCACGAAGAACUCCGAUUGCGAAGGCAGUUCACUGGACUGCAACUGACACUGAGGCUCGAAAGUGUGGGUAUCAAACAGGAUUAGAUACCCUAGUAGUC
This 460-nucleotide ribosomal RNA is filed under the name uncultured bacterium. RNAcentral describes it as "partial 16S ribosomal RNA". It matches the Rfam family "Bacterial small subunit ribosomal RNA", at positions 338 to 795 of the family's 1533-position model. The record is from RNAcentral.